RNAcentral lists this long non-coding RNA (281 nucleotides) under Capra hircus (goat). RNAcentral describes it as "lncRNA (ENSCHIG00000007593.1)". Lineage: Eukaryota; Metazoa; Chordata; Mammalia; Artiodactyla; Bovidae. The record is from RNAcentral.
AUUCCACUGGCAGAAUGAGCUCAAUGGUAAGACUGAAUGAGUUGAUUUUCCUUCAGUAUGUGACGGCAACACUUAAGCACAGAGACUUAUUUCUUCAAAAGACAAAGAUAACUCUCGAAAGUAACCUGCCUGCUGCAUGUUCAGCUCUUGAAAAUCAGUCUAUAUGGAAUCCAGAUUAGGAAAAAGGCCCUUGUGGAGGAGUGAAGGCAACCAAGUCUUUUUGAAGAGGAAUCAGGAAAGCCUGAAGUCAAUGUGGAUUUUUUAGACACUGUAUGAACCGC